Molecule: long non-coding RNA, 124 nt
Organism: Maniola jurtina (meadow brown)
Lineage: Eukaryota; Metazoa; Arthropoda; Insecta; Lepidoptera; Nymphalidae
Exons: 2
Source: RefSeq, a predicted model, not a curated record
UUCACGCAAAAACUACUACACGGAUUAGGCUGAAAUUUAGAAUGGAGAUAGAUUAUUCCCCGGAUUAACACAUACAUACGCUACGUUUUAUCUCGAAAAAUCAAUGAGUUCCUACGGGAUUUUU